This is a long non-coding RNA of Lutra lutra (Eurasian river otter), 595 nucleotides long. RefSeq lists it as uncharacterized. NCBI's taxonomy places the organism in Eukaryota, Metazoa, Chordata, Mammalia, Carnivora, Mustelidae. The record is from RefSeq and is a predicted model, not a curated record. The transcript has 3 exons.
CUUGGGUGUCACCCAAAGUUUUAUCCCUGAUCUACUUUGAGUUUAUCUUAAUCUAAUAAGGUUCUUUCUCCCUCCUCUACGUGGUACUUUUUUCCCUCUGGGUUUUCUCUGUGUGCCUUGGAUGUUUUCAUUUUUUUCCAAAUGAGCUUGUCUAACCCCAUUAAAAAGUGCAUUGGUAUUUUUACUGACAUUGCAUUAAAUGUGUGAAUUAACUCACAGAAAAAUGGCAUUUUUAUGAUGUCGUAUUAUCCUCUCCGGGAACGAGGACUAUCUAUUUGUUCAAGCCGACUUUGGGGUUUUCCAGGAGUUUUACACAUCUCUUUAGUUUACUCCUGAGCAUUUAUCUUCUCUGUCGCUCUUACUGAUGGGGUGUCCUCUACUUAUGUUCUCUAACUGCUUAUUGUUUGUGUGUCUGGAGGCUGGAGAUGGCGCGGUGUGUUUGUGUGCUCCUGGCAGUUUGCCAGGUUUCUUGAAUCUGUAAAUUUAUGUAUUUCAUCAAACUGAGGGGAUUUUCAGGCAUUUUCUUUUCAAGUACAUUCUCUGCCUCAUUCUCUCUCUGCUCUCCUUCUGGAACACCAGUCACUCAUGAGAUAGA